GACGAACGCUGGCGGCGUGCUUAACACAUGCAAGUCGAACGGAAAGGCCCUGCUUUUGUGGGGUGCUCGAGUGGCGAACGGGUGAGUAACACGUGAGUAACCUGCCCUUGACUUUGGGAUAACUUCAGGAAACUGGGGCUAAUACCGGAUAGGAGCUCCUGCUGCAUGGUGGGGGUUGGAAAGUUUCGGCGGUUGGGGAUGGACUCGCGGCUUAUCAGCUUGUUGGUGGGGUAGUGGCUUACCAAGCCUUUGACGGGUAGCCGGCCUGAGAGGGUGACCGGGCACAUUGGGACUGAGAUACGGCCCAGACUCGUACGGGAGGCAGCAGGGGGGAAUAUUGCAGAAUGGGCGGAAGCCUGAGGCAGCAACGCCGGGUGCGGGAUGACGGCCUUCGGGUUGUAAACCGCUUUCGCCUGUGACGAAGCGUGAGUGACGGUAAUGGGUAAAGAAGCAACGGCUAACUACGUG
RNAcentral lists this ribosomal RNA (468 nucleotides) under uncultured bacterium. Its description in RNAcentral is "partial 16S ribosomal RNA". It matches the Rfam family "Bacterial small subunit ribosomal RNA", at positions 28 to 507 of the family's 1533-position model. The record is from RNAcentral.